AUAAACUUUCUAUUCUCCAAGGCUGCCCUGGAAUUCCAGGUGCCACAGGACCCAGAGGAGACCCAGGAAAUGCAGGAAUGCGAGGACAACGGGGACCUCGGGGGAUCCCUGGAAAGGUGGGACUAACUGGCCCAAAAGGAGAAAGAGGUCCUGCUGGCGCCCCUGGAGUGAAAGGAGAUAAAGGAGCCCUGGGAGCUACGGGAGCCCCUGGAACAGCUGGUGAG
Molecule: non-coding RNA, 224 nt
Organism: Chelonoidis abingdonii (Abingdon island giant tortoise)
Lineage: Eukaryota; Metazoa; Chordata; Testudines; Testudinidae
Source: RefSeq, a predicted model, not a curated record